This is a long non-coding RNA of Fundulus heteroclitus (mummichog), 265 nucleotides long. RefSeq lists it as uncharacterized. Lineage: Eukaryota; Metazoa; Chordata; Actinopteri; Cyprinodontiformes; Fundulidae. The transcript has 3 exons. The record is from RefSeq and is a predicted model, not a curated record.
CAAGUAAUGAAUGUUUAAAAGAGUUUAUUAAGAAUAAACUGGUGUUGCUUGUAAAGGAAUCAGACGAGAGCAGAAUCCAGGCAAGAGAAUCAGUAACAGGAGGGGCAUAGGACAUGGACACGAUUGCUGACAUUUCUGUUUGCAUAAGAGAGUCUCUCAGGAAUCACGGCCAGGCUCCCCCGGGUCCGCUGGCAGGUAAUGGAACCGUCUUGGCAGAAACAUGGAGUGUGUGUUCUGAAUGCAAAGCCUCCUGCUUCACUUUCAG